This 372-nucleotide ribosomal RNA is filed under the name uncultured organism. RNAcentral's name for it is "partial 16S ribosomal RNA". It matches the Rfam family "Bacterial small subunit ribosomal RNA", at positions 527 to 896 of the family's 1533-position model. The record is from RNAcentral.
GUAGGUGGCAAGCGUUGUCCGGAAUUAUUGGGCGUAAAGCGCGCGCAGGCGGUUCUUUAAGUCUGAUGUGAAAGCCCACGGCUCAACCGUGGAGGGUCAUUGGAAACUGGAGAACUUGAGUACAGAAGAGGAAAGCGGAAUUCCACGUGUAGCGGUGAAAUGCGUGGAGAUGUGGAGGAACACCAGUGGCGAAGGCGGCUUUCUGGUCUGUAACUGACGCUGAGGCGCGAAAGCGUGGGGAGCAAACAGGAUUAGAUACCCUGGUAGUCCACGCCGUAAACGAUGAGUGCUAAGUGUUAGGGGGUUUCCGCCCCUUAGUGCUGCAGCUAACGCAUUAAGCACUCCGCCUGGGGAGUACGGCCGCAAAGGCUG